GAGUUUGAUCCUGGCUCAGAAUCAACGCUGGCGGCGUGCCUAACACAUGCAAGUCGAGCGAGAAAGCCCCUUCGGGGGUGAGUAAAGCGGCGAACGGGUGAGUAACGCGUGGGUGAUCUGCCCUGGUGAGGGGGAUAACCCGGGGAAACCCGGGCUAAUACCGCAUAAGCCCUGAACUGAAAGAGGUUUGAGGGGAAAGGUCCUUCGGGGCCGCAGCAGGAGGAGCCCGCGUCCGAUUAGCUGGUUGGUGAGGUAAGAGCUCACCAAGGCGACGAUCGGUAGCCGGUCUGAGAGGACGGACGGCCACACUGGGACUGAGACACGGCCCAGACUCCUACGGGAGGCAGCAGUGGGGAAUUUUGCGCAAUGGGGGCAACCCUGACGCAGCAACGCCGCGUGGAGGAUGAAGGUUUUCGGAUCGUAAACUCCUGUCCGGAGGGAAGAAGGCAGUGACGGUACCUCUGGAGGAAGCCCCGGCAAACUCCGUGCCAGCAGCCGCGGUAAUACGGGGG
RNAcentral lists this ribosomal RNA (512 nucleotides) under uncultured bacterium. RNAcentral describes it as "bacterial SSU rRNA". It matches the Rfam family "Bacterial small subunit ribosomal RNA", at positions 9 to 531 of the family's 1533-position model. The record is from RNAcentral.